Molecule: non-coding RNA, 527 nt
Organism: Elaeis guineensis (African oil palm)
Lineage: Eukaryota; Viridiplantae; Streptophyta; Magnoliopsida; Arecales; Arecaceae
Source: RefSeq, a predicted model, not a curated record
GUGGGUGAGCAUGGGAGGGAACCCGAUAAAGUGGAGUCUUACCGGAUGACUCAUACUCAUCAGGAUGGUAUUUUUGUUCGAGAUGAGUCGAGAGAUUUAUAUGAGAGGGCUACAUCUCUCAUUGCGGAGCGUGACAACGAGUCUGCAGCAUCUACGCAGUAGAGCCGUAUCGAGGCCGAGGUGUUCACAGAGUUGAUGAGACCAGAGCGCUACGGCCGAGUGAGAGGUUAUGGAAUAGGAGUCACCCCCACUCAAUUAUCUGAGGUUAGUAGAUAUACGCAGCAUGCUGUAGUAGAUGCUCAGGAUUCACGCAUCCGCAGACUCGAGGUGGAAUACAGAAGAUUAAACAGAGUCAUGCCGCUGAGAUGGAGGAGAUACGACAGAGCCGUGCCGAGAUGCAGGCCAUGAGGGGACAGAUUGAUCGGCUUACAUCUUUAUUAGAGAUGUAUGGCCCAUCUCAGGCUCCUAACACAUCAGGCACCCGUCGAGACGGCGGCACGUCACGUGGAGACAGCGACGACCAUCUG